UACAGAGGUCCCAAGCGUUGUUCGGAAUCACUGGGCUUAAAGGGCGCGUAGGCGGGCCAUCAAGUCAGGGGUGAAAGCCCCCAGCUCAACUGGGGAAGUGCCUUUGAUACUGGUGGUCUCGAGGGGGAUAGGGGCGUGCGGAACUUCCGGUGGAGCGGUGAAAUGCGUAGAUAUCGGAAGGAACACCGGUGGCGAAAGCGGCGCGCUGGAUCCCUUCUGACGCUGAGGCGCGAAAGCCAGGGGAGCGAACAGG
This 253-nucleotide ribosomal RNA is filed under the name uncultured bacterium. RNAcentral describes it as "partial 16S ribosomal RNA". It matches the Rfam family "Bacterial small subunit ribosomal RNA", at positions 524 to 776 of the family's 1533-position model. The record is from RNAcentral.